AUGGUCUCUACGAAAAUGCAGGCUUUUGUUUGUGUGGAAAUCCUCCAGCUUGUACUACUAGUUUUUAGCCAACUUGGAGUCCGCGAGGCGCUCCGCCAGCUCGAGGAAGGGGAGCAGGUGGCCGAAGGCGAGCCACGGGAAGACGACGAUGCAUGUGCGGCGGGGGAGAGUCGGCGGCGGCGUCCAUCUCCGCGCGCUAGCUGCAGCGAGGGUCGACGGACCACAGUACGUACGCAGGGACGAUCGACGGGAUCCACAGGAGUGGAGGACGAUCGAGUAGUGAGGUUCGGUGUCCGGACUCCCAUCGAGGACUUUGGAGCGUAA
This 324-nucleotide ribosomal RNA is filed under the name Triticum aestivum (bread wheat). RNAcentral describes it as "partial small subunit ribosomal RNA". Lineage: Eukaryota; Viridiplantae; Streptophyta; Magnoliopsida; Poales; Poaceae. The record is from RNAcentral.